UUAAGCGACUAAGCGUACACGGUGGAUGCCCUGGCAGUCAGAGGCGAUGAAGGGCGUGCUAAUCUGCGAUAAGCGCCGGUAAGGUGAUAUGAACCGUUAUAACCGGCGAUACCCGAAUGGGGAAACCCAGUGUGACUCGUCACACUAUCAUUAACUGAAUCCAUAGGUUAAUGAGGCGAACCGGGGGAACUGAAACAUCUAAGUACCCCGAGGAAAAGAAAUCAACCGAGAUUCCCCCAGUAGCGGCGAGCGAACGGGGAGGAGCCCAGAGCCUGAAUCAGCAUGUGUGUUAGUGGAAGCGUCUGGAAAGGCGCGCGAUACAGGGUGACAGCCCCGUACACAAAAGCGCAUGUGCUGUGAGCUCGAUGAGUAGGGCGGGACACGUGGUAUCCUGUCUGAAUAUGGGGGGACCAUCCUCCAAGGCUAAAUACUCCUGACUGACCGAUAGUGAACCAGUACCGUGAGGGAAAGGCGAAAAGAACCCCGGCGAGGGGAGUGAAAAAGAACCUGAAACCGUGUACGUACAAGCAGUGGGAGCACAGGUUUACCUGUGUGACUGCGUACCUUUUGUAUAAUGGGUCAGCGACUUAUAUUCUGUAGCAAGGUUAACCGAAUAGGGGAGCCGGAGGGAAACCGAGUCUUAAUUGGGCGUUAAGUUGCAGGGUAUAGACCCGAAACCCGGUGAUCUAGCCAUGGGCAGGUUGAAGGUUGGGUAACACUAACUGGAGGACCGAACCGACUAAUGUUGAAAAAUUAGCGGAUGACCUGUGGCUGGGGGUGAAAGGCCAAUCAAACCGGGAGAUAGCUGGUUCUCCCCGAAAGCUAUUUAGGUAGCGCCUCGUGAAUUCAUCUCCGGGGGUAGAGCACUGUUUCGGCUAGGGGGCCAUCCCGGCUUACCAACCCGAUGCAAACUGCGAAUACCGGAGAAUGUUAUCACGGGAGACACACGGCGGGUGCUAACGUCCGUCGUGAAGAGGGAAACAACCCAGACCGCCAGCUAAGGUCCCAAAGUCAUGGUUAAGUGGGAAACGAUGUGGGAAGGCCCAGACAGCCAGGAUGUUGGCUUAGAAGCAGCCAUCAUUUAAAGAAAGCGUAAUAGCUCACUGGUCGAGUCGGCCUGCGCGGAAGAUGUAACGGGGCUAAACCAUGCACCGAAGCUGCGGCAGCGANNGUUGGGUAGGGGAGCGUUCUGUAAGCCUGUGAAGGUGUGUCGUGAGGCAUGCUGGAGGUAUCAGAAGUGCGAAUGCUGACAUAAGUAACGAUAAAGCGGGUGAAAAGCCCGCUCGCCGGAAGACCAAGGGUUCCUGUCCAACGUUAAUCGGGGCAGGGUGAGUCGACCCCUAAGGCGAGGCCGAAAGGCGUAGUCGAUGGGAAACGGGUUAAUAUUCCCGUACUUGGUGUUACUGCGAAGGGGGGACGGAGAAGGCUAUGUUGGCCGGGCGACGGUUGUCCCGGUUUAAGCGUGUAGGUGUGUGUUCCAGGUAAAUCCGGUUCACUUUAACACUGAGGCGUGAUGACGAGGCACUACGGUGCUGAAGCAACAAAUGCCCUGCUUCCAGGAAAAGCCUCUAAGCAUCAGGUAACAUCAAAUCGUACCCCAAACCGACACAGGUGGUCAGGUAGAGAAUACCAAGGCGCUUGAGAGAACUCGGGUGAAGGAACUAGGCAAAAUGGUGCCGUAACUUCGGGAGAAGGCACGCUGACACGUAGGUGAAGUGAUUUACUCAUGGAGCUGAAGUCAGUCGAAGAUACCAGCUGGCUGCAACUGUUUAUUAAAAACACAGCACUGUGCAAACACGAAAGUGGACGUAUACGGUGUGACGCCUGCCCGGUGCCGGAAGGUUAAUUGAUGGGGUCAGCGCAAGCGAAGCUCCUGAUCGAAGCCCCGGUAAACGGCGGCCGUAACUAUAACGGUCCUAAGGUAGCGAAAUUCCUUGUCGGGUAAGUUCCGACCUGCACGAAUGGCGUAAUGAUGGCCAGGCUGUCUCCACCCGAGACUCAGUGAAAUUGAACUCGCUGUGAAGAUGCAGUGUACCCGCGGCAAGACGGAAAGACCCCGUGAACCUUUACUAUAGCUUGACACUGAACAUUGAGCCUUGAUGUGUAGGAUAGGUGGGAGGCUUUGAAGCGUGGACGCCAGUCUGCGUGGAGCCGACCUUGAAAUACCACCCUUUAAUGUUUGAUGUUCUAACGUGGACCCGUAAUCCGGGUUGCGGACAGUGUCUGGUGGGUAGUUUGACUGGGGCGGUCUCCUCCUAAAGAGUAACGGAGGAGCACGAAGGUUGGCUAAUCCUGGUCGGACAUCAGGAGGUUAGUGCAAUGGCAUAAGCCAGCUUGACUGCGAGCGUGACGGCGCGAGCAGGUGCGAAAGCAGGUCAUAGUGAUCCGGUGGUUCUGAAUGGAAGGGCCAUCGCUCAACGGAUAAAAGGUACUCCGGGGAUAACAGGCUGAUACCGCCCAAGAGUUCAUAUCGACGGCGGUGUUUGGCACCUCGAUGUCGGCUCAUCACAUCCUGGGGCUGAAGUAGGUCCCAAGGGUAUGGCUGUUCGCCAUUUAAAGUGGUACGCGAGCUGGGUUUAGAACGUCGUGAGACAGUUCGGUCCCUAUCUGCCGUGGGCGCUGGAGAACUGAGGGGGGCUGCUCCUAGUACGAGAGGACCGGAGUGGACGCAUCACUGGUGUUCGGGUUGUCAUGCCAAUGGCACUGCCCGGUAGCUAAAUGCGGAAGAGAUAAGUGCUGAAAGCAUCUAAGCACGAAACUUGCCCCGAGAUGAGUUCUCCCUGAGACUUAGAGUCUCCUGAAGGAACGUUGAAGACGACGACGUUGAUAGGCCGGGUGUGUAAGCGCAGCGAUGCGUUGAGCUAACCGGUACUAAUGAC
RNAcentral lists this ribosomal RNA (2879 nucleotides) under Salmonella enterica subsp. enterica serovar Infantis. Its description in RNAcentral is "bacterial LSU rRNA". It matches the Rfam family "Bacterial large subunit ribosomal RNA". The record is from RNAcentral. Lineage: Bacteria; Pseudomonadati; Pseudomonadota; Gammaproteobacteria; Enterobacterales; Enterobacteriaceae.